RNAcentral lists this ribosomal RNA (492 nucleotides) under uncultured bacterium. RNAcentral's name for it is "partial 16S ribosomal RNA". It matches the Rfam family "Bacterial small subunit ribosomal RNA", at positions 29 to 507 of the family's 1533-position model. The record is from RNAcentral.
AGUGAACGCUGGCGGUAGGCCUAACACAUGCAAGUCGAACGGCAGCACAGUAAGAGCUUGCUCUUACGGGUGGCGAGUGGCGGACGGGUGAGGAAUACAUCGGAAUCUACUUUUUCGUGGGGGAUAACGUAGGGAAACUUACGCUAAUACCGCAUACGACCUACGGGUGAAAGCAGGGGAUCUUCGGACCUUGCGCGAUUGAAUGAGCCGAUGUCGGAUUAGCUAGUUGGCGGGGUAAAGGCCCACCAAGGCGACGAUCCGUAGCUGGUCUGAGAGGAUGAUCAGCCACACUGGAACUGAGACACGGUCCAGACUCCUACGGGAGGCAGCAGUGGGGAAUAUUGGACAAUGGGCGCAAGCCUGAUCCAGCCAUACCGCGUGGGUGAAGAAGGCCUUCGGGUUGUAAGGCCCUUUUGUUGGGAAAGAAAAGCAGCAGGUUAAUACCCCGCUGUUCUGACGGUACCCAAAGAAUAAGCACCGGCUAACUUCGUA